GCGUUCGUGGUGUAACGGUAGCACAUUCGACUCGUAUUCGACAGGUCCAGGUUCGGGUCCCAGCCAGGGCA
Molecule: transfer RNA, 71 nt
Filed under: Stegodyphus mimosarum
Lineage: Eukaryota; Metazoa; Arthropoda; Arachnida; Araneae; Eresidae
Rfam family: tRNA
About the family: Transfer RNA (tRNA) molecules are approximately 80 nucleotides in length. Their secondary structure includes four short double-helical elements and three loops (D, anti-codon, and T loops).
Source: Rfam by way of RNAcentral